CUACAAAUAAGACAAUUUACAUAAAGUCAUAUUGCCCUCUAGUGUGUGAGUGACACACUUACAUGACUCCCACUUAAAUAUGCAGCUUCACAGCUAAGUUAUAACUGAUUUUCAACUUUAUUUUAAGCUGAAACAAUCCAUUGGGUUAUGUAAGGCUGACUACGUCUUGCUGGGUUUCAUUUAAAUUUCUGUAACAGCAAUUAGUUAAAAAAAAAUGUUGAUACUUGCAGGUGCAGCAAAGGCCCUACCUGCAAAGCAGCUCCCUCCUUGUCCCGAAAUGACCGUCCUGGCUUAUCUUCACAUCACUUACUGGCACAUAAAGCAGAGGCAAUAAGUCCAUGCACAUGCAUGCGUGUCCCUGAUGCACGAGAGCGCAGUGAGCAUCCCUGCAGCUUUGACAGCUUUACUUGGCUGCGACUGGAUGGGUUUACUUAAUAGUUGGACCAAAAAGUGUUACCUAGUAGCAGGCGCUCACGCACACUUCCCCAAACUCGCGACUGAAUGCAUUAGCUGCUCUGCUUCAUCCCUCUGUGAGCCCGCCUCCGUUCCCCAGUCCCCAUCCGUGAUUACUCCGUGCUCGGCUUACAAAGGACGCGAUCACACAUGACAGCCUCCAUUUAAAUGGGGAGUGGAAGGGACACAGAACUACAUGUGAAGGAUGUGGGAUAACCUUACCUUUCCCUUUGUGUACAGGUCCUCCACAUUAGCCCCGGAUGUGUGUUCCUUCAUUGUCACCUGUAAAACGACCAAGAGACGGUGCUGAUGGACAUCUCGGUCCAAAACCACACCUUUGAAAAGAAGACUGAUGAGUCAGAUGAGCUUUUUGACUAACUAUGUGAGACGAAAGAAUAGCCAUGUAAUCAGGGAGGAGGGCAGACACCAAAAUCAUCUCAACACAAUCCUCGGGAGUCCCAAACGAAAAUGUCCACAACCUGCCAAGAUCUCUGAAUUCUCUGGGAUGCUGCAGUGCUGCUGUCACACGCGAGAAAAGACAUGUGCACCUGCAUCAUUUCUACAUUAUAUUGCUGUCAACCCACUUGAUGAUCCAGUUUGCCCAUCCUUUGAAUAAGAUGACAUUAUUUGCUGCUUCAGAUUAAAGCAUUAUUUAAGGGGGAUCAGACCAACACUGUUCUUUGUUUUUUCAAUCAACAUUUACCUCAUUUUUCUUUUUAGCAUGAAAAUAUUUCUGAGGAUCUAAAAUUCAUCAUAUGGCUUCUUUUAUCAAAAAGUAGUGUAUAUACAGUAAGUGUACUACAAAUAUACUAAAUCUAUACUAUAAGUGAGGCAGAAUACUUGAAGUUUACUUUUUAUCAGUGGUGAAGCUAGAACCUUUUAAAUGAAUGUUGGAAGGGGGCAGCAGACUUUAAAAGGGUGUCAGAUCAGGCCAUGUUAUUUCAAUUUAAUUAAAUGUUAUGUUAAUUUGAUGUCACUUUCAUUUUAAUUGUUACUUUUCCUAUCCUUAAAGAAGCUUGUGUUUAUGAUCUCUUAAUAUUUCUCAAUAAUGAACUUAUAUUGGCUCAAAAAUGGGAAGGGGCGCAUCUGGUUUUGGGUGGGGGGAAGGCUGCCCCCACCCCCUUGCCCCCUGUUGCUCCGUCUCUGCUUUCUGUAUAUUAUCUGUAGAUUUAAAACUUAAAAUGUUCCAAUUUAGUCUGAAGAAAUUUUCAGUUAGUAUACUUUCUACACUAAAUGUACAUUUCUAUAGUACACUUAGUAUACCUAAACUGAAUUAUACUUAAAAUAAACUUGAAGUGUACUACUUUUUUGCAAAGGGUUGUCAGGGUCUCUGAAAAAUACUCUAAUUUGAAACUCUUGGUGAUUUGAACACUUUUUUUAGAAUUCAAAAAUGUCUUAAAAGGAAUGUAACACGAAACAUGUACUUCACAAAACAUGCAAUUUGCUUUCUUUUAAAUCUUUAUAUUUAUCUAUAUUGAUAGAGAUUUUUGUACCAUUUGGUCAAUAAGUCCUCCAGGCGUCUGCCUUUGCAUUUUUUAGGUUUGUGAGCUACUUAAACGUUCCUGGCAUGGAGUUAGUCAAGUUUGAGCUCAUCUAGAACAGUCUAAAUGUGAAGCGGCUGCACUUACCCUGAAAAAAGAUGAUCUUCAGUUUCUUUAAGCAGAGAUCUUCUGUCCUGCCGGGCCCCUCACUUUACCAGUCCAACCCCCUAAAAUCAAACACUCACUGUGAAACACUUGGAUUGAGGUUAGAAUAAAUGAUCUUCAUGGAUUCAAGGGAAAAAGGCUUGGCCGAUUGUUGAUACGUUUCCCGAAAAAGCUCCCGCAUGAGGAUCUUUGCUCUUUCUGAUGAAGAAGUCAGCAAUGUUCAGAGUUUCUGAUGCUGCGCUCUGGUACGCAGGGAUGCAGGCUGUGAGGCCAUAUGGUGCACUUAACAAGAGGAUGAAGAGGGAGCAGCAAGCAAAAAUAAAAAAAAGGAUUUAUGACUAAGCUUUCACCCGUUCACAAUACUGUUUAUCCAACCAAACUGUCUAAAUUGGG
This 2492-nucleotide long non-coding RNA is filed under the name Oryzias sinensis (Chinese medaka). RNAcentral describes it as "lncRNA (ENSOSIG00000007186.1)". Lineage: Eukaryota; Metazoa; Chordata; Actinopteri; Beloniformes; Adrianichthyidae. The record is from RNAcentral.